RNAcentral lists this ribosomal RNA (245 nucleotides) under uncultured Desulfovibrio sp. RNAcentral's name for it is "partial 16S ribosomal RNA". It matches the Rfam family "Bacterial small subunit ribosomal RNA", at positions 524 to 767 of the family's 1533-position model. Lineage: Bacteria; Pseudomonadati; Thermodesulfobacteriota; Desulfovibrionia; Desulfovibrionales; Desulfovibrionaceae. The record is from RNAcentral.
UACGGAGGGUGCAAGCGUUAAUCGGAAUCACUGGGCGUAAAGCGUACGUAGGCGGCCAUGCAAGUCAGACGUGAAAGCCCUCGGCUCAACCGAGGAAUUGCGUUUGAAACUGCAUGGCUCUGAGUUCGGGAGAGGGUAGCGGAAUUCCCGGUGUAGGAGUGAAAUCCGUAGAUAUCGGGAGGAACACCAGUGGCGAAGGCGGCUACCUGGACCGAUACUGACGCUGAGGUACGAAAGCGUGGGGA